CCAAUAGCGUAUAUUAAAGUUGUUGCAGUUAAAAAGCUCGUAGUUGAAUUUCGGGAUUAAUAUGUUGGUCGUGCCUUGGUACGUACUGGCAUUAUUGGUUCCUACCUUCUGAAGAACCUCGAUGUCAUUAAUUUGGUGUCUUGGGGAAUCAGGACUGUUACUUUGAAAAAAUUAGAGUGUUUAAAGCAGGCUCGCGCUUGAAUACAUUAGCAUGGAAUAAUGAAAUAGGACGUUUGAUUCUAUUUUGUUGGUUUCUAGGAUCGACGUAAUGAUUAAUAGGGAUAGUUGGGGGCAUUAGUAUUCAAUUGUCAGAGGUGAAAUUCUUGGAUUUAUUGAAGACUGACUACUGCGAAAGCAUUUGCCAAGGAUGUUUUCAUUAAUCAAGAACGAAAGUUAGGGGAUCGAAGACGAUCAGAUACCGUCGUAGUCUUAACCAUAAACUAUGCCGACUAGGGAUCGGAUGAUGUUGCUCUAAGGACUCCGCCAGCACCUUCUG
RNAcentral lists this ribosomal RNA (496 nucleotides) under uncultured Glomus. RNAcentral's name for it is "SSU rRNA". It matches the Rfam family "Eukaryotic small subunit ribosomal RNA", at positions 591 to 1092 of the family's 1831-position model. Lineage: Eukaryota; Fungi; Glomeromycota; Glomeromycetes; Glomerales; Glomeraceae. The record is from RNAcentral.